Long non-coding RNA from Oryzias melastigma (Indian medaka), 4256 nucleotides. RefSeq lists it as uncharacterized. NCBI's taxonomy places the organism in Eukaryota, Metazoa, Chordata, Actinopteri, Beloniformes, Adrianichthyidae. The record is from RefSeq and is a predicted model, not a curated record. The transcript is spliced from 2 exons.
UCGGCGCGUUUAUUUCUUGAUAAAAAUCAAAGAAAAAGUUUCAGACUAACGGCAAAACAUCAGCACUCACUAGUCCUAACGCAUAAAAUACAGGUGUCCAUUUAUCUUUAAGGGAUUUGAGUGGUUUCAGGCCACUUCAACAUUUCCUGCGGCUCACCUGCAUUUCCCGUACAGAUUUGCCUCUUUUUCACCCUCAGACUACCUGAAAGGGCAGUUGGGACUAACACGUAAGUAAAGUAAGUUCUGUGCAAUUCCACACUACAAAUCUGAAAAAUGACAAGUGCCAAAAGUUUGGACCAUGCAUGUCUGAUCAGUCAACAUGAUGUAGUCAGGAGGUAUUGGAUGCUUACCAAUACAUGAUAUUGAGAGAAUAAGUCAAGUUUGUUUUUCAUGCUUGUUUUUUCCUUGUCAGUGCCACCUCCAAACAGCAGCUAUUGUAACUGUGUGUGACAACCAAACAUGUAUUUAUAUUCUGCACCAAAUCACAGUGUGAAAGCCCCCAUAGAGAGAAGAACGCUUCCUGGAAUUUAGUCAUAUUUGGAGUAGUCAAGGUAUACGUUCGCUUUUACAGAGGAGAUAGUCGGUUAGUUAAACAAUGGGAGGGCAUUAAAACAUGCCAACACAGCAGUAUUAGUCAACAGUCUUAAGUCAAUACACCCCACUGGGCGUCCUGCUUUUCUACAAACACAAGCAAUCGCUUUAAAAGACCCAGAACUAGAUAGAAACAUCAAUUACAGUAAAUUACAUCCAAACAUUGUGUAACUCUUCAGUUUGUUUAAUCUCCAAAGCUGUCUGUGGCGUACUGGAUGAAAGCAAAGCAAAGCAGAGUAUAAGAUAACAGUCAAUACCACUAAGAUGAAUUGCACUGUUGAGCUCUGGUGUUGCAGAUUCAGGGAGUUUCUUUUUAACACUUGUUUUGAUUCCAGGAAUCCUUUUGAAAGCAGAAGUGCACUCUCAGGAACGGGUUAGGAAAACUUUGCAGAAGUCCUGUGACUUUUAAAAUAUGCUGCAGUAAAUAACAUGUUUUAUGUUGGCAUUGGGACUUUUCUGAAGUACGAAUGUUUACAUAUUUCCAAAAGCAUAUCUAAGAUACAUCAAGUGCUUUAAGUUUUUAUCAAAGACAGAAGUUGCUCAAUUUUGCCUUAAGACAAAUUUAAAUAAAAGUGGAAAUGAAAGGGUAUUUCCAGCUUAGUUAGAGCUAAAUUUCAUUUUUUUAACAAACAAACAAGUCCAUAAUCCACUCUUAUUAAACAGUUCAUUGAGAUUUCUUUUACCAUGGUUGAAUAAUUGGGUUGGUUAUUGGUUGCUGGUGACAGAUUUGGCUGUUUUGGUGAAAAUUUUGGUAGAGGUUAAGGGUUGUGUGUGUGUUUGUGGGGUGGGGGUUACAGAAAAUGAAAGACAAAUGCAAGUAGUGCCCACUCAGCUAUUUUCCCAGUCAAGAUCAAAGGCGAGCCGGACUGGCCGCACCGCGGGAAACUUGAGAUGGGUCCUUCCUUUGUUUGCUGUUGCUAGGAGACCUGCAGAAAGCUGAAAGUGGGGUACAACAUCAAAACCAUUUCCAGUAUAAAUUUUUAAGACAGCUGUGUAUUUGUGGACUGGCCUCUGCAUUUGCUGUGCACACUGGAGCACUAAUGAUUCAUUUCAGUUUGUUCUACAACAGCAUUAAAGGAAAAACAAGUAAAUGGAAACUUGUCAUCCACUUGCACAUUUUUGUUGAUUUGACAGAAGCACGGCCAAGUUGAUUUGUAAAAACAAAGAAGAGCAAAAAUAAGGUUUGGAAUUUAGAUUUCUUUCUAACCCAAUGUAAAUACGGCUUAAAUGAUUUAUUAGUGCUGCUCUGACUUUUAAACAAAACUAAUUAUGAUACUGUUAUGUAUUAAUGGACCCCGGGACAGUAAGGGUGGCUAGACAUGUGUCACACAGAGCUCAUUACAUAUCAUUAGUUCAACACUUCAAUAACGUCUCCACCUGCUGAGCAGCAGAUAAUGACUUGGCCCCUGAUAUUUGCUGGACUAUUGUCUACUAAGCAAAGCACCACUGGGAGAAUAGAUCCACAGGCUUAUGAGGGGCAUGGUAGCCGAUAAAACUGCACAACAAUGGGGAGUACACACCUUCUUGAUUUGAUGUAAGCUGGAGUGCAUGCAGAGGAAGACAGAGGAAAGAUUCAUGUCUGAUUUUUGAAUUUAUUUCUGGAUUUGUUUGUGGAAUUGAGGAAUAAGGGUUAACCCACUGUACAAACAAUCAUGGAAACCCAAAUGCAAGACACGUGUAUAAUGCUACAUUAUGCUUGAAUUGUAUAAAUAUGUAAUGUUUACAUGUAAUUUCUGUAGUUCUAGUAGAGUUACAAUGUUUUUUAGGUGUAUUUCAACAGAAAAAUACAUCUUUUUUUAUAUGUGGCUUUUUUCAAAAAGAGAAAGUCAUUUUUUGUAUUCACUGUUUUACGCUCACACAUGCUACAGGAAACAGUUCUUCUAGUCCCACAUUUGCUGUGGUAACCCUCUGCACCCAACUGGACACACAGAAGCCACAAUUGCCAAAAAGAAUUGAGUGGCAGGUCAGCACAGUAGCCAGGAUGCUCCCCCCACAAACAGUUCACCUCUGUCUCAGUCGAUGACUGCUGCCUGAACUCUGCACCCCCACUGAGACAAUAAAACGGCUGGAUGACUACAGGAGUAGCAGAAAGGCCAACGGUUUAUUACUCAAGUGAUGCAAAGCAAUACAGCUCGUGUGAAGACAAAGAUUUAAAACUGCAAGAGAUGGAAUUCUCUCAGUCCGAGGUCAGAAGGCCAAAGUUACCUUUUCAGCUCCCUGACGGCAGAUGGGGAGACACAAGCUGGAGGACACCAACAACAUCCCCGAAGCUUCAGACAAAGGAGACAUCCUGCUGGAUCAUUGUCAGAUCAAUCAAUAAAUGCUUACUCUGUAUUUAAAAGACAAGGGAGGAUCUUACUCUGGUUUUUCAUUGUCCCAUUUCAAUUCUUACUAUACCUUCUCUGUGUUGCUUACUAUAUAACUGCUGUUUUUAACAGAGCUAUGCUAUGUGAUUGCUAAAAAUGUUUCCAUUCUAUAAAAUAAUCAUGUAUAACGAUUAACUGAGAGGGGAAAAGUAAGUUUAAAGCAGGAUAUGACCUAAAAUAUUGUUUUAACCCAAAAACAAUCAGACAAGAACAUCCAUGUAAAAUAUAUUUACUGUUUGCAUUUUAACUUGUUGUCUAAUUGUUUAAUUAAUAAAACAUUUUUUUCCUAAAACAGCUGCUGUUUAAAAAUCAAAAACUCCAGCUCAUGCGCUCAAAUCUACAACAAGAGCUUUAAGAAGCUGCAUUAUGAUAUAAGAGUUGUUUUGAGCCUUGAUCUUUUCACACUGUGAGGGUCCCUUUUCAUUCUAACGGCAUUAAAGAGACAGAAAGAGCGGCACACAGAGGGGUGAGGCUGACGUCACAGUCCCAGAGUCACCCGCCGUGUGUUCGGCGUCUCCAAGUAAAGACUUAUCUGGAAAGAAGUUUGGACGGGACAAUGUGGGUGGACAGGGCGUGAAACUACUAUCAUCAUCAGUUCUGAAUGAAAAAAAGAAAACAUAUCUUCCACAAAAAAGAAGGCUCAUUCCAAUUCAGCUGCGUUGUUAGGACAACGAGAACCAUCCCUCAGAUGAUUAGUUCCACUUCAAAAGAAUUUACUUUCCCCGAUGGAAACGUCCCCCUUUUGUGUCCUUACACAGGGUUUUCUCAGCCCAAAGGAAGAAUCGUAUGUUUAGUCAGCCUGUUUAUUAUUCCUUCUGUUCACACUACAAUUGUAUUAAAUAAAUAGAGUACUACCAACAAAGGCCUAUUAGCCCAUAAACAUGUCCGAAGACACACCAAAAAAAGACUAAAUCACAGGAAUUAAGAUACUUUGGUAAAGGCAGGAACCACAUCACCCAAGGCAUCUGCUGACAUCAUUAAACAUGAAUGUUCUGCUGGAUUUGUUUGUUGUAACUUGAAUUUAUUUGUCUGCAUUUUCAUUCAAAGAGGCAAAUCUUUUACUAACACACUCAAACGAUCACUUCAAAUUUCAAAAUGAUGAUCAGGCAGACAGCACUUUGAUGAGAAGGAAAAAAAAGGCAAUUAGAGGUGUUAAUCAAAUAAUUUUAGGCACAAAUUACUCGCAGCCUAAUCAGUGAUGUGCAGUAACAGGAGUGGAUCAAAGAGUUACAGCUGUGAGCUUGAUCAUUUACUUUGGCUUCUUCGGAUUUGAAGGCACAAUUUGUAUUAAAAAAAAAA